UCUGUAAGAUUUACAAGUAACGUGAUCUUAAUUAAUUUGUGAUCUUAGUCAUACGAUGUUUGCUUCUUCAUUUUGUUAAGCUCCUCGGUCUUUUUAAUCUGACAAUGGCUCGAACAAAUGCAGAUGAUGAUUUAAAGUCAAAGUCUUUACAAGCUGAGUUUGGCGAAAAGAGGAGCUUUGGUCGCGGUUUCUGUAUUACAGUCAAGAGAUUGCAACAUAUAAAAAAAUUACUAAUGCUCUGCUUCAUAGAAGGUAUGAAGCUACAUAUGGAGAAAUUCAAUGAUGGUAUUGUACUAAGAUAAAGGCUCCUUAGUAUAUUGAAACGAGAGUCUAUAGUGGGGACAUGUAAAGUUCCUAUGUUAUAAAUACCAUUUGAGUCAAAUAUCAUAUGUAAAUUUUUUCUUGAGUCGAUUUUAGUUUUCAACAAUGUUUUUGUUUUUAAAAAAUAGAUUAUUGUAUGAUAGUUUUAAGCAAUCUGCAGGAUAUUACUGAGAAAACAAAUCUCAUCCAUGCCCAACAGAGUGGUUAUUCCGUGUUGAUAUUGUUAAUAAAUGGAAAGAGUCUAACGGUUUCAGUGCUGCCCAGAUGUUUAGAGAAUAUCAAGAUGUCUGAUACGGCCUUACUGGUGAGAAGAGCAUUGUCUUUAAGCCAAUAUACUUUGUUUAUGGAUCUUCAAUAGAUUCUUUUGUGAAAAGGGGAUUAGAAGUCUUUUGGUUCAAUGGAAAAUUAGCUCAGCAGUCCAGUGAGAAAGUGUUGAAGGAUGCAAUGAAACCAUCACAAAACAGUUCUGCUUAUGUCUAUGAAAGCUGGCGUCGAACUGAAUCUAACCGCUUCUUCACACGUCUUCUUAACGACCAGGUCACCUUCUACACUCCUGGGCGUGACAAGUCAGAUAAUAGGAAAACAAAAGCUUGCUACAUGUCUCUCUAAGGUAGUUUUGUUUCUUCCUGAAUUGGUCUAAACAAGCAGAAGAAGGCUAAGGGAAACCGGAACAUUAUCUUCUGGUUGGACACAGAGGUAAACCAAAUCAAUUUUUUAACCAUCUGAACUUUUUUUUCUAAUCAAACUGGUUUUACUUAACGGGGUUAUGAUUUUGUUGUAAUAUCUUUAAGCGCUUGGAAUGCAUUGGAUCGUUUGGUGCAAGAAAAUUUUAUGUAUAAGAAACCAGGAGAAGAAGGUGGUCAAGUAAAGUGAUGGAAGAUCUAACUCCAUUAAUGGAGCUAUAAUAGGAGGAAGCUUUAUGCUUGGAUCAACAAGUCUCCACCCAUAAAUGUAGACAAGACAAUCAGUUUUUUUUUUUUUGCAAUUAUUAUUUGUUCCCAAUAGUCCAAAAACUACCGUUGACGAAGUCUUUUUCUUUUGUAUUUCUCAUUCACUAUAAAUAAAAAUUUCAAAUUUCUUCU
Brassica rapa (field mustard) is the source of this 1403-nucleotide long non-coding RNA. RefSeq lists it as uncharacterized. Lineage: Eukaryota; Viridiplantae; Streptophyta; Magnoliopsida; Brassicales; Brassicaceae. The record is from RefSeq and is a predicted model, not a curated record.